AGAGNUGAUCCNGGCUCAGAACGAACGCUGGCGGCGUGGAUAAGACAUGCAAGUCGAACGAUUACUAUCGGGUAGCAAUAUUCGGUAGUGAGAGUGGCGCAAGGGUGCGUAACACGUGGGCAAUUGCCGUGAAGUCUGGAAUAACUUGCUGAAAGGCGAGCUAAUACCGGAUGUGAUUUCUGGAGGGCAUCUUCUGGAACUUAAAGUCGGGGACCGCAAGGCCUGACGCUACACGAUAAGCCCGCGGCCUAUCAGCUAGUUGGUGAGGUAACGGCUCACCAAGGCUAAGACGGGUAGCUGGUCUGAGAGGACGACCAGCCACACUGGAACUGAGACACGGUCCAGACACCUACGGGUGGCAGCAGUCGAGAAUUUUUCUCAAUGGGCGAAAGCCUGAAGGAGCGACGCCGCGUGGGGGAUGAAUGGCUUCGGCCCGUAAACCCCUGUCAUUUGCGAUCAAACCUUACGACCUAACACGUCGUAAGCUGAUAGUAGCGGAAGAGGAAGGGACGGCUAACUCUGUGCCAGCAGCCGCGGUAAUACAGAGGUCCCAAGCGUUGUUCGGAUUCACUGGGCGUAAAGGGUGCGUAGGCGGUCGGGUAAGUCUGACGUGAAAUCUUCAAGCUUAACUUGGAAACUGCGUCGGAUACUAUUCGGCUAGAGGAAUGGAGGGGAGACUGGAAUACUUGGUGUAGCAGUGAAAUGCGUAGAUAUCAAGUGGAACACCAGUGGCGAAGGCGAGUCUCUGGACAUUUCCUGACGCUGAGGCACGAAAGCCAGGGGAGCAAACGGGAUUAGAUACCCCGGUAGUCCUGGCCCUAAACGGUGCGCAUUUGCUGUAAGAGGAAUCGACCCCUUUUGUGGCGAAGCUAACGCGUUAAAUGCGCCGCCU
This 892-nucleotide ribosomal RNA is filed under the name uncultured bacterium. RNAcentral describes it as "bacterial SSU rRNA". It matches the Rfam family "Bacterial small subunit ribosomal RNA", at positions 9 to 873 of the family's 1533-position model. The record is from RNAcentral.